This 447-nucleotide ribosomal RNA is filed under the name uncultured bacterium. Its description in RNAcentral is "partial 16S ribosomal RNA". It matches the Rfam family "Bacterial small subunit ribosomal RNA", at positions 30 to 523 of the family's 1533-position model. The record is from RNAcentral.
AUUGAACGCUGGCGGCAGGCUUAACACAUGCAAGUCGAACGCAUCGCAAGAUGAGUGGCAGACGGGUGAGUAACGCGUGGGAACAUACCCUUUUCUACGGAAUAGCUCUGGGAAACUGGAAUUAAUACCGUAUACGCCCUACGGGGGAAAGAUUUAUCGGGGAAGGAUUGGACCGCGUUGGAUUAGCUAGUUGGUGGGGUAAAGGCCUCCCAAGGCGACGAUCCAUAGCUGGUCUGAGAGGAUGAUCAGCCACAUUGGGACUGAGACACGGCCCAAACUCCUACGGGAGGCAGCAGUGGGGAAUAUUGGACAAUGGGCGCAAGCCUGAUCCAGCCAUGCCGCGUGAGUGAUGAAGGCCUUAGGGUUGUAAAGCUCUUUCACCGAUGAAGAUAAUGACGGUAGUCGGAGAAGAAGCCCCGGCUAACUUCGUGCCAGCCGCCGCGGUAA